CACAAUAUAAAUUUAAAUUCUUAACACUUAUAUAAUACUUUAUUUCUGCAAUCAUAUGGUAUCUAAAUGGUCAAAUGUGAUUACCUGUGUAAUCGGAUUCACACCGCGUAAGUCUAAGGGUAAAAUCCUCCCUACCGAGAAGUUAAUUUAAAAUACUUGAUUAAAGAUAAUAAACAGAUUAGAUUUUAUUACUAAAAAAAAUUAAGAAAUCAAUUCCUAUAAAAGAUAAACAAAUUUUCUCCCUUUGUGCUACUAUCACUGUUUCUGGUCGAAUAUCAUUUUGUUUCGGCGGGACGAGGCUUGAGCGUAACGGAUUUAAAAUCACCUGCUAAACCAUUCUCCCGGAGGCGGAGAGACGCACCUUUCCACCGGCGUCCGACGCUGCCGCUGUUCGAUUUCUCUAUCUUCUCAAGGUAUACAAUCCUAACUCAGCACUAUUUCAUUCCUUUUGAUUUAGACAGUUUUCUUAGUCGAGUUAUCUCCUCUAUUAACCCCAAAAAAGAAU
RNAcentral lists this long non-coding RNA (505 nucleotides) under Nicotiana benthamiana. RNAcentral describes it as "long non-coding RNA (NBEN_LNC025357)". Lineage: Eukaryota; Viridiplantae; Streptophyta; Magnoliopsida; Solanales; Solanaceae. The record is from RNAcentral.